This 90-nucleotide small nucleolar RNA is filed under the name Parvimonas sp. oral taxon 110 str. F0139. Its description in RNAcentral is "putative Small nucleolar SNORD12/SNORD106". Lineage: Bacteria; Bacillati; Bacillota; Tissierellia; Tissierellales; Peptoniphilaceae. The record is from RNAcentral.
AGUUAUCUUAAAAAUAAUCGAACGUUUUUUGCUAAAAUAUCGAUUGUGAAGAUGUUUUUAUUUUUUCUAAUAUAUUUAUAAAAGAUAAUU